GCCUCGGUAGCGCAGUAGGCAGCGCGUCAGUCUCAUAAUCUGAAGGUCAUGAGUUCGAACCUCACCCGGGGCA
This 73-nucleotide transfer RNA is filed under the name Trichonephila clavata. Its description in RNAcentral is "tRNA-Met". It matches the Rfam family "tRNA". From Rfam's summary of the family: Transfer RNA (tRNA) molecules are approximately 80 nucleotides in length. Their secondary structure includes four short double-helical elements and three loops (D, anti-codon, and T loops). Further hydrogen bonds mediate the characteristic L-shaped molecular structure. tRNAs have two regions of fundamental functional importance: the anti-codon, which is responsible for specific mRNA codon recognition, and the 3' end, to which the tRNAs corresponding amino acid is attached (by aminoacyl-tRNA synthetases). tRNAs cope with the degeneracy of the genetic code in two manners: having more than one tRNA (with a specific anti-codon) for a particular amino acid; and 'wobble' base-pairing, i.e. permitting non-standard base-pairing at the 3rd anti-codon position. Lineage: Eukaryota; Metazoa; Arthropoda; Arachnida; Araneae; Nephilidae. The record is from RNAcentral.